Molecule: ribosomal RNA, 497 nt
Filed under: uncultured bacterium
Lineage: Bacteria
Description: partial 16S ribosomal RNA
Rfam family: Bacterial small subunit ribosomal RNA
Source: RNAcentral
GAUGAACGCUGGCGGCGUGCCUAAUACAUGCAAGUCGAGCUAACAGACGAGGAGCUUGCUCCUCUGACGUUAGCGGCGGACGGGUGAGUAACACGUGGAUAACCUACCUAUAAGACUGGGAUAACUUCGGGAAACCGGAGCUAAUACCGGAUAAUAUAUUGAACCGCAUGGUUCAAUAGUGAAAGACGGUUUUGCUGUCACUUAUAGAUGGAUCCGCGCCGCAUUAGCUAGUUGGUAAGGUAACGGCUUACCAAGGCGACGAUGCGUAGCCGACCUGAGAGGGUGAUCGGCCACACUGGAACUGAGACACGGUCCAGACUCCUACGGGAGGCAGCAGUAGGGAAUCUUCCGCAAUGGGCGAAAGCUUGACGGAGCAACGCCGCGUGAGUGAUGAAGGUCUUCGGAUCGUAAAACUCUGUUAUUAGGGAAGAACAAAUGUGUAAGUAACUAUGCACGUCUUGACGGUACCUAAUCAGAAAGCCACGGCUAACUACGUG